GAUGAACGCUGGCGGCGUGCCUAAUACAUGCAAGUCGAGCGAACAGACGAGGAGCUUGCUCCUCUGACGUUAGCGGCGGACGGGUGAGUAACACGUGGAUAACCUACCUAUAAGACUGGGAUAACUUCGGGAAACCGGAGCUAAUACCGGAUAAUAUAUUGAACCGCAUGGUUCAAUAGUGAAAGACGGUUUUGCUGUCACUUAUAGAUGGAUCCGCGCCGCAUUAGCUAGUUGGUAAGGUAACGGCUUACCAAGGCAACGAUGCGUAGCCGACCUGAGAGGGUGAUCGGCAACACUGGAACUGAGACACGGUCCAGACUCCUACGGGAGGAAGCAGGAGGGAAUCUUCCGCAAUGGGCGAAAGCCUGACGGAGCAACGCCGCGUGAGUGAUGAAGGUCUUCGGAUCGUAAAACUCUGUUAUUAGGGAAGAACAUAUGUGUAAGUAACUGUGCACAUCUUGACGGUACCUAAUCAGAAAGCCACGGCUAACUACGUG
RNAcentral lists this ribosomal RNA (497 nucleotides) under uncultured bacterium. Its description in RNAcentral is "partial 16S ribosomal RNA". It matches the Rfam family "Bacterial small subunit ribosomal RNA", at positions 28 to 507 of the family's 1533-position model. The record is from RNAcentral.